Bos taurus (domestic cattle) is the source of this 1848-nucleotide long non-coding RNA. The record is from Ensembl. NCBI's taxonomy places the organism in Eukaryota, Metazoa, Chordata, Mammalia, Artiodactyla, Bovidae.
GUCCUGUUUAGAGCCGUCCAGCCACAGCUGACGCUGGGAAACAUUCCUGAAUGAAUUAAGAACAGCCGGGGAGAAAGCGGAGUCGGGUGGAGGCGAAAGACCAGCGGCAGGUGGACAGAGGGAGGAAGGACAGAGAGGAGGGGUCGCCCCCACAAGGGCCAGGCCGGGAGUCUGGAGGAGCCCCCUGCCGGGAAUGCAGCUGGGGAAAGAGGUUAUUAGGUGCAGUCCUGAGAACGGGGCAGGGAUGAGAGGCAGGGAAUUUGUUACUCGAAAACUGGGCUCGACUCGGUGGACGUUGCGCCAAGAGACACAGUCAAGCCAAACAGCGGGAGAAGGAAGCAUUUAUUACUUGCAGCAAUUCGCUCUGUUUUUCUUCACCCUUGCCUUCCAUUCUGGGAGGGAAGAUCCACCUCAACAGGGUGGGCUCCUCUCACGAGCCCACCUCCGGCGGCCCCCUCCCUCGGACCUUGCCAAGACACCGAGACGAGCUCCAGGACAGGACUCUCCACUUGCCUUCUGGACUGACAUCCACACACUGGCCCACAUUUCAUCCCUCAGUUGCAAGGGAAGCAGCUGGAGCAGAAGGCUUUGUUUGGGUUCCUGUCCCAGCCUCCCUCACUGAUCUAUCGAUCUAUUGCAAAUCAAAAAGCAGCGUCUUGGUUCCUUCUCCUCAGACCCGGAUAACUAUCUAGAAGAAUUCAAGUAUCUUACUCAGUCCUACAACUUAACCUGGCAUGAUAUUUACAUCAUCCUUUCCUCCACCUCCUCCCAGAAGAGAAGGAACAAGUAUGGCCAACCUCCCGGCUGCAAGCUGAUGAGAUACACAGGGCUGACGACACAAAGCCUGUAGGGGUCACGGCUGUCCCCUCCCAGAGAUGAUCCUGGGAUUAUCAGGCAGGGAGACCUGGGCCAGCAGCCUGUCAUCACGUGGUUGCUUGCCUCAUUGUAGGCCUUCAAAAGGCAGAACAUAAAGCUAUCAUCUUUGAUAAGCUUUGGCUAAUAAUUCAAGGGCUAGACGAAAACCCGGCACAAUUUCUAGCCAGGCUAACGGAAGCCCUACAAAAAUAUACAAGAUUUGAUCCCAUUUCAGCAGAGGGCACCAUUGUCCUUAUCACCCACUUUAUCUCCCAAUCGUCCCCAGACAUCUGAAAGAAACUAAAAAAGGCAGAAGGCCCUCAACCCCCUCAACAAGACCUUUUAAAUUUAGCCUUUAAGGUUUUCAAUAAUCGGGAAAAACAGGCAAAGCUAGAGAAGGCCCAACGAGAUCAGGCCAAAUACCACCUUUUAGCCACUGCCCUCCAUGGCUCCAAAUUUCCAUCAACCAACAAAGGCAGGAAGCCGUGUGGGCCCUGCUUCAAAUGCGGCAAAGAAGGCCACCGGGCCCACUCACGUCUAAAGCCAAGGCCCCCUCCAGGCCCGUGUCCCAGCUGUGGCACAAAGGGACAUUGGAAGGUUGGCUGCCCAAAUCCCCCUUAGGGAUCCGGACAUCCCCUCCUGGUCUCGAGCAGCAGUCCUCUGACCCAGCUCUGCCCAGCCUCCUUGGACCCGCCGUUGAGGAUUAGAGGUGCCCAGGGCUCCAGGCCCCGACUCUUGCCACCUCUAAGGAGCCCAGGGUAACUCUCACAGUGGCAGGGCUGCUUACAAGGCUCCACCAGCCGAACUAUCCACAAGCUACUUCUAACUCACUCAAAUUAUCAAAAUCUUCGACCCCACACAGAUCCCCUUGACCCACAUUCCAGCCUUUUCUUAUCUCAUCCCCACGAUGCCCCUGUCCCGAAGGAAGCAGUUACAGAAGACUGACCGUUGGCCCUUAUCCUAAAUCAAAAAGGCUGGAAUGAUAGGGUCUAC